CGUACGCAAAUCUUUUUCAUUACCUGAGAUCAGCCACUUUUGUCAUUCUUUUGUUACAGAUAAAAAAGUCCCCCAUUCCAGAGAAUUGGUAAGACUCUGAGGCUGUUUCCGAAGUUGUAGUCCACUGUUCAUUUUUCAGCAGCCGUGAAGGAUUGUUUCCUUCUUCAAAGCCAAGCUAUAACGUAAAAGUCAACAACAAAUCUGGCAGAUGAAGGCUGUCUGAGUGUUUCCAAAACAGCUGGCACAGUCAAAAGGAGAUUGCUAUUUGCAGACAGAGACUGUCUUAGUUCAGGUGGCUGGAUAGCAGGUAGCAAAUAAUAGUCAGAGACUACAGAACAAGGGACAAUCAAAAAUAGCUCUGUUGGACUGUUUUGGAUGGGAACGGUAGAAUUUCCAGGGCAGGCUUUUCCAUCUUAAGGAAACUUUCCAGAGGUUAGGCCGCAAGUAUGGCAGUAUUAUGCACUGCACUGAUAAAGACAUUUGUAGCAUUGAUUUCCACACACUUCAAAGACUAUUUCCUUCUUCUCCUGAAUUAACUGGUUUUAAACAAAUAUGACCCAUAGCCUUCCUAUCUAUUAAGAUUUGGAAAAGCUUGGUUCCUCUUUGAGAUCCUGGCUCAUAUACACACAUGGACAAAUGUGUUGGUACCCCUCCACAAAAAAAGAAGAACCCACAAUUGUCUCUGAAAUAACUUGAAACUGACAAACGUAAUUGGCACCCAUCAUUGUUUAUUCCGCAUUUAACAAAAAUCAGACUUUGCUUUAGAGUUUUGAUGCAACAGAAUAUUCCAAAUAACACAAAUGAAAAUGGCAUGGACAAAAAUGAUGGGACCCUUAACCUAAUAUUUUGUUGCACAACCUUUAGAGGCAAUCACUGCAAACAAGCGAUUCCUGUAGCUCUCAAUGAGACUUCUGCGCCUGUCAACAGGUAGUUUGGCCCACUCUUCCUGAGCAAACUGCUCCAGCUGUGUCAGGUUUGAAGGGUGCCUUCUCCAGACUGCAUGUUUCAGUUCGUUCCAUAGAUGUUCAAUAGGAUUCAAAUCAGGGCUCACAGAAGGCCACUUCAGAAUAGUCCAAUGUUUUGUCCUUAGCCAUUCUUGGGUGCUUUUAGCUGUGUGUUAUGGUCAUUAUCCUGUUGGAGGAUCCAUGACCUGCGACUGAGACAGAGUUUUCUGACACUGGGCAGUACUUUUUGCUCCAGAAUGUCUUGAUAGUCUUGAGAUUUCAUUGUUCCUUGCACACUCAAGACACCCCAUGCCAGACACAGCAAAGCAGCCCCAAAAUAUAACUGAGUCUCUUUUCAUGUUUCACAGUAGGUAUGGUGUUCUUUUCUUGGAAAGCUUCAUUUUUUCAUCUGUGGACAUAGAGCUGAUGUGACUUGCCAAAAAGCUCCAGUUUUAUAAUUAAAAAGCCAGACUGGAAUUUGCUAAAAUGCAUAUUGACAAGCCACAAUGAGAAUGUCCUUUGGACAGAUGAGACAAAACUGGAGCUUUUUGGCAAGUCACAUCAGCUCUAUGUCACAUCAGCCUUUUUUCGUGGAGGGGUACCAACACAUUUGUCCACGUGUGUACAGAGCAAGGAAGUACUAGUGCAGUGAGAAAGCAGCUUAACAGAACCUUCUAAAUAAGUGCACUAGUGCAGCAGGGAAGUGGCGAUUUUUUUUCAUCCGCCCCUUCCUCAGGGCUGCACAACCCUCAAGGACAUAUUUUUGGGUGGCUCAGAGGGCUUCCUGGUGAAGGGUAACACAUCAAAAAAGCAUUUAUUUAUAGUUAGUUAGUUAGUUAGUUAUUUCAAUGUAUAUAUUCAAUUUAUUGAAAGAUAUUGGAACAGAAAAAUAUAUUAGAACAUACAGUAUACACAAUGCAUAUUAUACAAAAUCAAUGCACAGCACAAGAAACUGUUACUUUUUAAUUUUAAAGGUGCUUUUGUAUUUUCUUGCAUUCAUAUUCUUUGCAAAUAGGGAAACCAAGAUUCUUAAAGUGUGCAACUCCAAUAUCAGCUGGAGUGCUUUUUGGAAGGAACCUUGUAAUCAACUGAGCAUUUUUACCUGUAACUAAAAGCUGAGAAAGCCUCAGAUGUAAACUGUCUGUAGUAUUUUGAAUAAAAUUUAUUUUUUCAUUUUGUUCUUUGCACAUUUUAA
Long non-coding RNA from Hemicordylus capensis (graceful crag lizard), 2139 nucleotides. RefSeq lists it as uncharacterized. The transcript has 2 exons. NCBI's taxonomy places the organism in Eukaryota, Metazoa, Chordata, Lepidosauria, Squamata, Cordylidae. The record is from RefSeq and is a predicted model, not a curated record.